Small nuclear RNA from Jaculus jaculus (lesser Egyptian jerboa), 191 nucleotides. Its record names the gene U2. It matches the Rfam family "U2 spliceosomal RNA". Rfam says of the family: U2 is a small nuclear RNA (snRNA) component of the spliceosome (involved in pre-mRNA splicing). Complementary binding between U2 snRNA (in an area lying towards the 5' end but 3' to hairpin I) and the branchpoint sequence (BPS) of the intron results the bulging out of an unpaired adenosine, on the BPS, which initiates a nucleophilic attack at the intronic 5' splice site, thus starting the first of two transesterification reactions that mediate splicing. NCBI's taxonomy places the organism in Eukaryota, Metazoa, Chordata, Mammalia, Rodentia, Dipodidae. The record is from Ensembl.
AUCGUUUCUCGGCCUUUUGGCUAAGAUCAAGUGUAGUAUCUGUUCUUAUCAGUUUAAUAUAUGAUACAUCCUCUAUCUGAGGACAAUAUAUUAAAUGGAUUUUUGGAGCUCAGAGUUAGAAUAGGAGGUUACUCUGUCCACUCCACACACCGACCUGGUAUUGCAGUACCUCUAGGAAUGGUGCACACCCU